AUCUUUCAGCUGCACGUCGUGGAGAGGUUGAAGAAGAGUCCUAGGGCAAUUUCGUGCAAGGUUUUGGACGAUUUCAUGGUAAAACUGAAGCUGAAACAGAAGCUUCAUCUGCUGUCGCACAGCUCGAACCAGGUCUGGUGUUUGGUGAAUAUCGAGCUGAAGAGAUUGAAUUUUGGGCUGAAAUUUUAAGUAGCACGGAGAAAACUUGCAAUAUCUGACGAACCAAGACGAGUUAAGCCACGAAAGUUUGAGAAGUGAGAACAAACAAGAAAGGAGGAAACUUUGCUGUCGGAUGUCAUUUGGAAGCAGGUAACGCUGAGGAAUUGGCGUGAGUAACGACACUAGUCUCGUUGGUAGAGCAAAGAAGGUUUUUCUCUCACAAAUCUCGCUGGCUCUCGCUCGGUAGCAAGGACGUUCCCGGUGCUUAGCCUACUUCAGCUCACCCUGCCUAAGUCUCGAGUUCUCGAAAUUCAGUCACGUUUGAGAGUUGUACAUUGUAUAUAACCUUAUGUAGGUGGCAUGUAGAUCAAGUUGUGUAAAGAGUGGGGAUCGUAAUGUAGUUUUGUACAAAUGUAUGGUGGAUCUAUGGAAGUUUAAUUAUGUGGUAUGAUAAAAUGUACUUUGUACAGGAAGGACUAUGAUAUUAUGAUCAUGUGUAAUUGGGCUGAGUU
Molecule: unclassified non-coding RNA, 671 nt
Filed under: Hevea brasiliensis (rubber tree)
Lineage: Eukaryota; Viridiplantae; Streptophyta; Magnoliopsida; Malpighiales; Euphorbiaceae
Source: RNAcentral